Ornithorhynchus anatinus (platypus) is the source of this 117-nucleotide non-coding RNA. RefSeq annotates it as microRNA mir-92b. NCBI's taxonomy places the organism in Eukaryota, Metazoa, Chordata, Mammalia, Monotremata, Ornithorhynchidae. The transcript has a single exon. The record is from RefSeq and is marked provisional.
UCAAAAGCCAGGAAAAGUCAAACCCCUUUCUAUGCAGGUUGGGAUCAGUGGAAAUGCUGUUUGCCUUUGGUAUUGCACUUGUCCCAGCCUGUUGAGAUUACUGAAGAUUGUGGCUGA